RNAcentral lists this ribosomal RNA (465 nucleotides) under uncultured bacterium. RNAcentral's name for it is "partial 16S ribosomal RNA". It matches the Rfam family "Bacterial small subunit ribosomal RNA", at positions 28 to 507 of the family's 1533-position model. The record is from RNAcentral.
GACGAACGCUGGCGGCGUGCUUAACACAUGCAAGUCGAACGGAAAGGCCCCUUUGGGGGUACUCGGGUGGCGAACGGGUGAGUAACACGUGAGUAACCUGCCCUUGACUUCGGGAUAACUUCAGGAAACUGGGGCUAAUACCGGAUAGGAAUCCUUGCUGCAUGGUGGGGGUUGGAAAGCUUCGGCGGUUUUGGAUGGACUCGCGGCUUAUCAGCUUGUUGGUGGGGUAGUGGCUUACCAAGGCUUUGACGGGUAGCCGGCCUGAGAGGGCGACCGGCCACAUUGGGACUGAGAUACGGCCCAGACUCCUACGGGAGGCAGCAGUGGGGAAUAUUGCACAAUGGGCGGAAGCCUGAUGCAGCAACGCCGCGUGCGGGAGGACGGCCUUCGGGUUGUAAACCGCUUUCAGCAGGGGCGAAGCUUGUGGUGACGGUACCUGCAGAAGAAGCACCGGCUAACUACGUG